Molecule: long non-coding RNA, 332 nt
Organism: Suricata suricatta (meerkat)
Lineage: Eukaryota; Metazoa; Chordata; Mammalia; Carnivora; Herpestidae
Exons: 3
Source: RefSeq, a predicted model, not a curated record
GCCUGUUGCCUUGAACCCGUCACUUUACCUCUAGGAGCUUCAGUUUCCUCAUCUGAAAAGCUGGAAAGUCCUGUCCAUCUGGGAGUCAGAGGGACUGUGUUUCCGUCUUGAGGAAGAAAGCAAAGUAUUUCCCUGGAUACCAAACAUGCCGAGUUGGGACACUAGCUGAGGAAGAAAACAUGUAGAAAACGGUGAUGACUCAGGCCUGCCCUAAGCUUUCCUGCCCUCUGUGCAUCGGACUUCAGAGACUGCCUCCACGCUCUGUCCUUCACUGGAAUUCUCUCUCGUUCAGAGCUUGGAUGUUGAGUGAGAUACACCACCCCCCCCCCCUU